This 171-nucleotide ribosomal RNA is filed under the name Polymixia japonica (silver eye). Its description in RNAcentral is "partial 12S rRNA". The record is from RNAcentral. Lineage: Eukaryota; Metazoa; Chordata; Actinopteri; Polymixiiformes; Polymixiidae.
CACCGCGGUUAUACGAGAGGCCCAAGUUGAUAGGCACCGGCGUAAAGCGUGGUUAAGGUUAACACAAACUAGAGCCGAACACCAUCAAAGCUGUUAUACGCACCCGAUAGUAUGAAGAUCCGCCACGAAAGUGACUCUAACCAUACCCCUGAAUCCACGAAAGCUAUAAAA